Molecule: transfer RNA, 71 nt
Filed under: bacterium
Lineage: Bacteria
Description: tRNA-Gln
Rfam family: tRNA
About the family: Transfer RNA (tRNA) molecules are approximately 80 nucleotides in length. Their secondary structure includes four short double-helical elements and three loops (D, anti-codon, and T loops).
Source: RNAcentral
UGGGGUGUAGCCAAGUGGUAAGGCAGAGGGUUUUGGUCCCUCCAUCCGAGGUUCGAGUCCUUGCACCCCAA